ACCGCAGUAAUAAUAUACUCAUGUGUCGGGGUUUCCAACAACAUACCUUCCCCUUAUCAUAAGGGUUGUUCAACUCAGUUUUUAAGAUUUCCGCACCAAUCAAGUGAUUUGGACAGUUUUAUAAACAUACAUAUAGUCUAUCCGAAUCAAAUGGCAUCGACUCUUUCACAAUAUUCAAGAUCAAUACUAAGUUCAUCAUGAAUAAUAGUUCUCACAAGGGUUUAAGCAUAUUAACUCAUUUGAACGAGAAAGUAAUAUAACUUGUAUUCAAAAAAAUAAGUUUACGGUAUUCGUCGAAUAAAGAAUGCAAAGAUACUUGCACAAUAAGAGUAGGGUUCGGAUACUUGCCUAAAGCGUUGAUUACCACUUAUAGCGUAAAAUCACUCAACGAACUAUAUUAUCCUAUUUAUGUAUGUAUAGGUACUCAUUAGUCACACAUCUUGACAUAAAUCUUAACAUGCAAUUAUCACACAUAUAUGUAUCCAUACACCUUAGAACUCAUAGAUGUAUAAUUGACAUUGUUCUUACUUUUAAAAACCUUAAAAACAUUUUAGCAAGUUUAAGUCUCAUAUACUCAUUUCAUG
This 584-nucleotide long non-coding RNA is filed under the name Panax ginseng (ginseng). RNAcentral describes it as "long non-coding RNA (PGIN_LNC007325)". Lineage: Eukaryota; Viridiplantae; Streptophyta; Magnoliopsida; Apiales; Araliaceae. The record is from RNAcentral.